This 526-nucleotide long non-coding RNA is filed under the name Drosophila guanche. Lineage: Eukaryota; Metazoa; Arthropoda; Insecta; Diptera; Drosophilidae. The record is from RNAcentral.
GUGAUGGAUAUCAUGGAAAUUAUCCUUUUUAAUUGACAGCUGUUAUGUGGAUUUGGCCAGCCUCAGCAUUAAGCCCUGAUUACGCGCUAAAUUUAUUUCUUGCCCUCACCAACAAAUGAAACAUCGUCAGAGAUGCUGCCACACCCGCAACCACUGACAAAUCAGAGUGGGAUGGCAUGAAGCAGAAAGAGCAAGAGAGAGAGAGAGAGAGAGAGGGAGAGCCGCUUUUUAUGGUCGUAAGUUCUUGUUCUUGAAUUUCGGUUCACAGCCGACGCAGAGGCCAUUCCUCUGGGUCUGUGUUCUUUUUUUUGAGGCGAUACUAUCGCUGGCAUAAUGAAGGACCACCCUCCUCUCCUCCUGCAGAAAUCCGCAUAAAUAAAGGGAUGGUCGUGGGGGACAAUAGCCGAACAAUGGGGACACUGCCUGGCGGGCGGGGAGAUCUAAGCCAGCAGGCCUUACGUGCGCAGGAUUUAAUCGAUGGACUUAGUUUAUUGUUUUCAAAUUGAAAUUGCAAAUUCAAAGCCCC